Molecule: ribosomal RNA, 433 nt
Filed under: uncultured bacterium
Lineage: Bacteria
Description: partial 16S ribosomal RNA
Rfam family: Bacterial small subunit ribosomal RNA
Source: RNAcentral
AACGAACGCUGGCGGCAUGCCUAACACAUGCAAGUCGAACGAGACCUUCGGGUCUAGUGGCGCACGGGUGCGUAACGCGUGGGAACCUGCCCUUAGGUUCGGAAUAACUCCCCGAAAGGGGUGCUAAUACCGGAUAAUGUCUUCGGACCAAAGAUUUAUCGCCUUUGGAUGGGCCCGCGUUGGAUUAGCUAGUUGGUAGGGUAAAAGCCUACCAAGGCGACGAUCCAUAGCUGGUCUGAGAGGAUGAUCAGCCACACUGGGACUGAGACACGGCCCAGACUCCUACGGGAGGCAGCAGUAGGGAAUAUUGGACAAUGGGCGAAAGCCUGAUCCAGCAAUGCCGCGUGAGUGAUGAAGGCCUCAGGGUUGUAAAGCUCUUUUACCCGGGAUGAUAAUGACAGUACCGGGAGAAUAAGCGCCGGCUAACUCCGUG